UUCGAGGAAAGCCUGGACUACAAAGUGAGCUCAAGGUGUACUCAGGCUGGCCUCAAACUCGAAGUAAUUCUCCCUCAGCCUAGUGGGAUGACAGCUACUGCACCAGCCUCCAGAGUGCUGAAAUUACAGGUGUGGGCCACCACGGCCAGCUAAGAGAGCUUUCUUAAACCGGGUUCCCUCCAGCUCCCGGCCGCCGUCCCAAGCAAGGCACCGGCCAGCCCCAAAGAGUCCCUGGAUAACCAUCAUCCUCCGCAUUUACCGAAGAGGUGGAAAGAUCAAGUAAGAGCGCAUCCCCGCAAGGACAUGCGCCAGCCACUGGCCAAGACGUGUUAGGCUGAGGUCCCCGGACUUGAA
Molecule: long non-coding RNA, 354 nt
Organism: Chinchilla lanigera (long-tailed chinchilla)
Lineage: Eukaryota; Metazoa; Chordata; Mammalia; Rodentia; Chinchillidae
Exons: 3
Source: RefSeq, a predicted model, not a curated record